This 484-nucleotide ribosomal RNA is filed under the name uncultured bacterium. RNAcentral's name for it is "partial 16S ribosomal RNA". It matches the Rfam family "Bacterial small subunit ribosomal RNA", at positions 30 to 507 of the family's 1533-position model. The record is from RNAcentral.
AUUGAACGCUGGCGGCAGGCCUAACACAUGCAAGUCGAGCGGAUGAAGGGAGCUUGCUCCUGGAUUCAGCGGCGGACGGGUGAGUAAUGCCUAGGAUUCUGCCUGGUAGUGGGGGAUAACGUCCGGAAACGGGCGCUAAUACCGCAUACGUCCUGAGGGAGAAAGUGGGGGAUCUUCGGACCUCACGCUAUCAGAUGAGCCUAGGUCGGAUUAGCUAGUUGGUGGGGUAAAGGCCUACCAAGGCGACGAUCCGUAACUGGUCUGAGAGGAUGAUCAGUCACACUGGAACUGAGACACGGUCCAGACUCCUACGGGAGGCAGCAGUGGGGAAUAUUGGACAAUGGGCGAAAGCCUGAUCCAGCCAUGCCGCGUGUGUGAAGAAGGUCUUCGGAUUGUAAAGCACUUUAAGUUGGGAGGAAGGGCAGUAAGUUAAUACCUUGCUGUUUUGACGUUACCAACAGAAUAAGCACCGGCUAACCUCGUG